This 380-nucleotide ribosomal RNA is filed under the name Rhyacodriloides abyssalis. RNAcentral's name for it is "partial 12S ribosomal RNA". It matches the Rfam family "Bacterial small subunit ribosomal RNA", at positions 875 to 1415 of the family's 1533-position model. The record is from RNAcentral. Lineage: Eukaryota; Metazoa; Annelida; Clitellata; Tubificida; Naididae.
UCAUGGCUUAAACUAAAUGCCGGAUAAUACGAACAACAGUUUAAAAUUCAAAGAUCUUGGCGGUACCUUAUCCUAUCAGGGGAACCUGUCCCUCAAUUCGAUAAUCCACGACAAUCUUUCCCAGUCUUGAAUCUCAGUCUGUGUACUGCCGUCGUCAGUAUACCUUUAAAAGAUAGUAUACAACUAUAGUAUAACUAUAGACGUCAGGUCAAAGUGCAACUAAUGACUGGGCGGAGAUGGGUUACACCCUAUACUAUAGCCACCGCAACCAUACUAAUUCAUGGUUAAAAGCUGAACUUGAUAGUAAUUAAUAAUAAUAAAAUCACAUGAAAUGGAAUCUAAGGUAUGCACACAUCGCCCGUCACUCUCGUCUAAAGAUG